GCUUCAUUUUAAAGCCCGGUUGAAAAUGAUUACUGCAGAAUAUUGUCAUAAUGCAACCUGCCACGGCUUGGAAUUUAGUGUAAAGUUAAAUAACCUAUCUGGGGGAGUGUUCUUAAUCAAGUAACCAAAAAGAGCUUGUCUUGAGAGAUUUCAUUAGCAAGACAGGGCCAUAGCAUGGGUGACGUAAGCACUGGCUGAGCAUUCCAUUUAGUAUUUAGUAGGUGAAAGUUACUUAGUAAGGGCUCUCUUGGAUUUAAGAUCUCAGAAAUUCCCUCUGUCUUUCUUUUUCUAUUUCUGUCUCUAUCUCUCUCUUUCUCUCUUCCCAUCUCUUCUUCCUUCCACCCCCCCCACCCUUUCUUUCUUGAGCUCAGUGGAUUAGUGAAAUUUGUAAACCCCUGCAAAUUUCCUAUCCUCUGUAACUGUGACAGUGGAGCUCUCUCUAACACAACUUUUGAUGCAGAAAAUGGAGCCAUUAUGCCAAGUAUAAAAUAACUUCUCUCCCCUGCAUUGCUCCAGCAGAAAUCUCUCUUCUCACCAUCCUCUCACAUGACAGAGUACAUUUUGAUUCUUUUUCUCAUGAGUACAAGCACCUGCUUUGCUACCUACCUGGUGAAGUUUAGUUAGGUACCUUGUCUCCUUCUUGCCUACUGUGUAUUUGGGGAAUUGAGGUUGGGGAAACUCUGGCAGAUGAAAUAUGCAGGCGUGGGGGCAAAGAGUGCCAGGGUUAAGGAUGGAAUCUACAUUUUUUGUAUCCAGGGCCAGAAUAAACUUGUUACACUGUGUAGGUAUGCAAGAGGCCAUUUCAGUUCUCAAGUGGCUUGUUUACGCUUGGGUGUGAGGGACAGGUUCAUUUCUGUUCCAUUUCUGCCUUGCUCUGUUGUCCUUUCAUUAUGGAAUCAUGCAGUCAACAUUAGGCAGCACGUGGAUAGGGCCAGGAGGAAGUGACAUACCACCACAGAAGGUACAUAUCCAUGACAGGACUAGUCACAGAGAGUAAGUUGUCUGGCUAGACUGGAAUUAAGAGAUUUUUAAAUUUCUCAGGUCUCAGCAUCCCUCCUUUUCAAAAUGGAGAAAUUGGUCUAAAAUACAAAAUGAUCUCCAAGAUCUUUCCGGCUCCACAAUCAUGCAUUGAGCUUAAAGUAUGAUUUUAAUUAUUCUGUUCUCCCAGAACCCAUCACCAGCACAUCACUUCUGAUUUUCUCUUGGGUAUAUUUGUUAUCUUAAAGGCCCCCCUAAGUUUUAACAACUUAAGAUGGAACAAGAGUUGUUACAUAUCACAUUUGAAUGUUGUUUCUGUCAUAAGAAAGCAUUCAGUUCUCUCAAAGGAGUAGGAUGUAAAAAUCAUUCCUUAAUUAGUUUUGGUAGGUUGUGAUUGUGUGUGCAUUGGGGGGGGUUGUGAAGAAAGCGAAGAGAAAUAGAAGAUGAGAAGCAUUAUUUAAAAAAUUCUUAAUUUAAGCAGAAAAAAAUACUCCUAGGAGGGGACUUAUUUCAUGAGACUUUUCCAUUUUAGGGGCAUUUAGUAAAUUUAAUAAAAUGUAGUCUCCAAAAUGAUGAUUCAAUAGCCACACUCAGGAGGUCUUCUUUGGCAAAUGAACUUGGGGACUGGGUUAAAACUAGGAUCCCUUGGUGCCAGGCAGGAGUCCUCCCCACCUGUGGAAGAUGCAUUUGCAGCCAUGUCCCACAUUGCUAGGUUACAUGGGGAAAAAAAUCACAUUGGCAAAAACCACUUUCAUAGUUUAAACAACAAAUCCUCCAGCCCAGAGAUCACCCAUGGGGCUUAGGAUCAGUGAAUAGAAUGCUGAUCUAGAGAGCCUUACAAAUCUGGAGAAAAUUACCUUCAGCUGCAUGAUGAAUUUCAAGAAAUAUCAUUUUUAUUUUUAGAACACAAUGACUAAUACCAUACUUAACCUUGGGAUUCUGACAUUACAUGAGCCAUGGUGUGGUCCAGCAUUGGCAUACAUAGUGAUGAAGCUGCUUUGUCAGAGAUUUAUCUGAGGGCUUUUAUGCUAUUCUGACAUUAAGAUUAAAAAAAGAAAAAAGCAUAUAAGCAGGCAAACAAAUCAAACUUUGUGUUUUUAUCUAAGAGAGAUUGAAAGACAUUUUAUUUUCUAAAGUAAAACAUUUGUCUAAAUUCCUUUUGUUUAAAUGAAUUGUCUUCCUCCCACACUUUGGAAGGCUAUUCUGGGUGCUGAUUAUAAGUUUGGAAAAACUUUUUAGUGGCAUGGUCUUUACUUGAUAAGGCUGACUUCUGCAAUCAUCUUGUACAGAGAUGGAAAAUUUUUUAGCACCACAUAUAGAAUCAUUAUAGUCAUUAAUCAAUAACUCACCACCUUCCUUCUUUCUCAAUUCUUGGUAACCUCUAUUCUACUUUCUGACUCUAUGAAUUUGCCUAUUCUAGACAUUUCAUAUAAGUGUAAUUAUAUGAUAUUUGUCCAUUUGUGUCUGGUCUAUUUCACUUACUGUAAAGUUUUUAAGGAUUAUCCAUAUUGUAGCAUAUAUACGAUCUUCAUUAUUUUUAUGGAUGAAUUUUAAUAUUCCAUUAUAAGUAUAGACCACAUUUUGUUUAUCCAUUCAUCUGUGAUGGACACUUGGAUUAUUUGGCUCUUGUGAAUAUGAUGCAGCUACUUAGCUUUUUAAAAUUCGUAAUAGACAUUUGCUGGAGUAUUUCUUCCUUGGAAGGUUAAUUCUUUAAGGGUCAAUUUUUAAAUAUCUUUGCUGGAGAAAAGAGUUUCCAGAUCCACCCUGGAAGCUCAGUAUAGUGCAAACCACACUCUUGCUUGGAAUAUUAAAUCAGAAAAAUCACUUCGGAUCUUCUAGUUCCACCAAGAUGAGCUAAGGACAAUCCCAGCAAUAUUACUGCCCUAGGAGCCCAGAUGAACCUAGGUAAUAAACAAUGCUCAGCAUCAAAUUUACAAGUAAAGGAGAAAUGAGAUUCUAAGAGAAGAGUGGCUAGAUAAGUACCAAAAGAGUAAGCAGCUGGGUGAGCCAUGUGGUUUUAGAGCUAAGGAUAAUGAGUCAGUCAGAGAUUUAUUCAAGAAAUAGAAAAACACUUUCAAUUCUUAAAGCAUGAAGAGAUUUAAUAUGGGGAACUUGAUUGUUUUCAAAAUUAUCAGAAGAACUGAUGGACUGGGUACUAAGAAGGCACUAGAAUGACUCUCAAAACCAUUCUUCACUGACCCCUAGGGGAGCUACUACCCCUGAAACUGUUGCUAGCUAAGAAUUCAAGAAUACUCUCUUGCCUCUGUGAUCCAGGGUUCUGGAACCUAGAAUCAGUGCAGUUGGUUGACUAACCAUUUCUUUCCUUUUGCUAAGGAGGUCUACUCAAGGAAAAAAAGAAAUGCUUAUAGAGCAGCACAGGGACUUCUCUGCCAUUCAGGGAGCCAUGAUCACACCCUCUCCAAUGAGAUCUGGAUCUCAGCCCUGGGUAGACCUCUUCCUGUGUACUAUAUCUCAACUCAGGGGUACAGCAAUGACCACAGCUCAUAAGAUCACCUGGGUGGACCAUUCAGCUGAUACAUAAUAGAGAAGAAUCAUUAGGAAAGGAUAUAAGAUUUCAGCAGAAAUUGAGAAGAAAUAUUGACGAGUAUUGCUUUAUGAUCUUGCAGCUGGCUGUCUCCUCCCUCUUUCCUACCCAGAGUAAGUCACCUACCACACAGGAUAAUAAUUUUUUCCUGGGACUCAGUGGAUCACUUCUAGGAAGAUAUAAGUAGGUUAUUUAGAACAUAAAAUCCAUUUAAUCAAAUCAAAUAAAGAGUAUGGCUCCUCUAUUAUAUUUUCUUUGGAUAACAAGUGAUAGUUGGGACAGGUGCAUAUUAUGAUUUUUACUUUCCCAGUCUGUUUCUUAGCCCUGCUGAAGUCUCCAAUUAGAUGCAUAUAGCUAUCAUUACAUUAGAAAAUUUUCAUUCAAGCUCUCUAGAUAAGUAUAGAUGACAACUGUCAUAAGAAAAAGCUUAAUAAGGGUAAUUCACAUUCAUGGUAAAUCCUAAAGCUGAAGUGAAUGCAUAUCAAGAAUAAUAACACAGGACUAAUUGAUCUACAUGGAUAAAAAGGAUAAAAUGGAGCCAUAUUUACACCUACAUUGGUUUUAUAUCCUAUGCUAUUUGAAUUCACAGCUUACUUUGAAAUGUCUUCGAAAGGUGCUAUUUGUUCAAUGAAUACACUUAAAAAUAACACCAGAGCUUCGGCUGAACCCUGGAGCGCCCAAGCAGAUUCCAAAGAUAGGAAAAGAAUUCUUAGCAUUUUACUAUACUAUGUGUGUUUUUAUUUCAUUUUUCAAAAAUAACCUCUACAUUUUUCAAAUAAAUAUUGCUCUUCUACAAGACACUGUGGUCUGGAAGCCUCAUCUUAUGUUAGGUGAAAGCAUCCUUAUGUCUUGGUGCUAUCUCCUGUGUUAACCAUUUCUGUAAGGCGUUGCUAACAGAUGUUCAAGAUGCAGUUCCUGAGAUCCAGCAUGUGCUGUGUCAGCCUGAGAGUUUGAAUCAUGCCAUAGGUAUACUUGAGCAUUACUCACACAUAUAAUGCAAUGACAAAUUUUUAUACCCAAAUUAUUGUUUCCUUAUACUCCUUAUGCUUCUGUAUGACAUGAUUUUUUUUUUUUUGCCUGCUUCACUCUUGUAGCCAUUACUGCCUUCUGAGUCAUCUUACAGUUAUUUGAAAUUUUGAUAUUUUUUAACUCUUUGGUAAAUUCCAGCCUGACCAUCUCUGUAUUUUCCAAAGCCCUAAUGAAGUUCCAUGAAUUUGAUUACAUUCAAUGUAUAUUUGUUGAGAUGGAAUUUUUUGUAUAGAUAUUAAUAAAGAUUAGGAUUAAUGCCCUAGUACUAUACUAAUCAUAUUAUCAAGCUUUCAGUCUAGUUGUGUUGCCAGGAAUACAAUUAAGCUCAUGGCCUAUCCAAUUCUCAGUAAUGAGAAGACAGGUUUGACAGUGUGGGAUGAUUAAGAUGCUUAAUGUUCAAUUAGCCUCCUUGGAUUAAGUCUAGUAAAGGAAAAGGCAGAUAAUUUAAAGUUGUAUUAUGGAGAAUAUUAUUUUACAAAAACCUUAAGAGAGCAAUUUGAAAAGGGCAUUGAUUGCUCAAAACUUAAAAUAUCCAAGGCAUCAUUUUGAAACUACAAAGACCAGAUAAAAGGGUUAUAAAUAUACUGAAAGUGAAUGGCACAGACUAGAAAACUGAAAAAUGUAGCAAAACUUGAUAUGAAGAAUUUAUUUAAUCUAGCAGAAAUAGGAAAAGGUGGACAAUAUAAAUGACUCCUAAAUCUACAGUGACAUCCAUUAUCAUAAAUUACCAACAUGAGGAAUGCUAUAAUAGUAAAUGUAAUUUUCUUGAGUCAUUACAUUUCAAAGACAUAUCACAUAGCUAGUAUAUAAAAAUACGGAUAAAAUGUGAACGGAUUUCCUCUACUGGGAAGCAAGGGAAUUUAUACUUUCUUGUGAAUCAUUGUGAGAAUGAAGUCAGUCAUAGGCAGUAGUGGAGCUGGGGUGUGUGUGUGGAAGGGUGUGUGUGUACCUACCAGUAAUUAAAUGCACUCCCAGAAUUUGGGAACCAACUUUGAACAUGAACUGGGUGAAAUUUGUCAUCAUCAGAGAUAAUCUGUUUUAAGAGACGGCUUCUGACUAUGCUGCUGCUAAGACAAGGAGCACCCAAAGCCUAAAUGUUCAAGGCUUAAUUUCUUUCAGAGCUUCAGUGUCAAAUCAUGCCUUUGUACAUGAAAGCUGCAUCCUAUUCCACAGAACGUGUGCUUUGGAAGGGACCUUGG
This is a non-coding RNA of Microcebus murinus (gray mouse lemur), 5751 nucleotides long. The record is from RefSeq and is a predicted model, not a curated record. NCBI's taxonomy places the organism in Eukaryota, Metazoa, Chordata, Mammalia, Primates, Cheirogaleidae.